RNAcentral lists this ribosomal RNA (598 nucleotides) under uncultured Lachnospiraceae bacterium. Its description in RNAcentral is "bacterial SSU rRNA". It matches the Rfam family "Bacterial small subunit ribosomal RNA", at positions 90 to 706 of the family's 1533-position model. The record is from RNAcentral. Lineage: Bacteria; Bacillati; Bacillota; Clostridia; Lachnospirales; Lachnospiraceae.
UUCUAGUGGCGGACGGGUGAGUAACGCGUGGGUAACCUGCCUUGUACAGGGGGAUAACAGUCAGAAAUGGCUGCUAAUACCGCAUAAGCGCACAGGACCGCAUGGUCCGGUGUGAAAAACUCCGGUGGUAUAAGAUGGACCCGCGUUGGAUUAGCUUGUUGGCAGGGUAACGGCCUACCAAGGCGACGAUCCAUAGCCGGCCUGAGAGGGUGAACGGCCACAUUGGGACUGAGACACGGCCCAGACUCCUACGGGAGGCAGCAGUGGGGAAUAUUGCACAAUGGGGGAAACCCUGAUGCAGCGACGCCGCGUGAAGGAAGAAGUAUCUCGGUAUGUAAACUUCUAUCAGCAGGGAAGAAAAUGACGGUACCUGACUAAGAAGCCCCGGCUAACUACGUGCCAGCAGCCGCGGUAAUACGUAGGGGGCAAGCGUUAUCCGGAUUUACUGGGUGUAAAGGGAGCGUAGACGGCGCAGCAAGUCUGAUGUGAAAGGCAGGGGCUUAACCCCUGGACUGCAUUGGAAACUGCUGUGCUUGAGUGCCGGAGGGGUAAGCGGAAUUCCUAGUGUAGCGGUGAAAUGCGUAGAUAUUAGGAGGAA